This 253-nucleotide ribosomal RNA is filed under the name uncultured bacterium. RNAcentral's name for it is "partial 16S ribosomal RNA". It matches the Rfam family "Bacterial small subunit ribosomal RNA", at positions 524 to 775 of the family's 1533-position model. The record is from RNAcentral.
UACGGAGGGAGCUAGCGUUGUUCGGAAUUACUGGGCGUAAAGCGCACGUAGGCGGCUUUGUAAGUUAGAGGUGAAAGCCCGGGGCUCAACCCCGGAAUUGCCUUUAAGACUGCAUCGCUUGAAUCCAGGAGAGGUGAGUGGAAUUCCGAGUGUAGAGGUGAAAUUCGUAGAUAUUAGGAAGAACACCAGUGGCGAAGGCGGCUCACUGGCCCGGAACGUGACGCUGAUGUGCGAAAGCGUGGGGAGCAACAGG